This 68-nucleotide transfer RNA is filed under the name Gonodactylaceus falcatus. Its description in RNAcentral is "tRNA-Asp". Lineage: Eukaryota; Metazoa; Arthropoda; Malacostraca; Stomatopoda; Gonodactylidae. The record is from RNAcentral.
AAAAAAUUAGUUAAUUAAUAACAUAAGCUUGUCAAGCUUAAAUAACUAAGAGUAUUUAGUAUUUUUUA